CCUACGGGAGGCAGCAGUGAGGAAUAUUGGUCAAUGGACGAGAGUCUGAACCAGCCACGUAGCGUGAAGGAUGACUGCCCUAUGGGUUGUAAACUUCUUUUAUAAAGGAAUAAAACGAGGCACGUGUGCCUGUUUGCAUGUACGUUAUGAAUAAGCAUCGGCUAACUCCGUGCCAGCAGCCGCGGUAAUACGGAGGAUCCGAGCGUUAUCCGGAUUUAUUGGGUUUAAAGGGAGCGUAGAUGGGUUGUUAAGUCAGUUGUGAAAGGUUGCGGCUCAACCGUAGAAUUGCAAUUGAUACUGGCAGUCUUGAGUACAGUUGAGGUAGGUGGAAUUCGUGGUGUAGCGGUGAAAUGCUUAGAUAUCACGAAGAACCCCGAUUGCGAAGGCAGAUUACUAAACUGUGACUGACAUUGAUGCUCGAAAGUGUGGGUAUCAAACAGGAUUAGAUACCCCUGUAGUC
RNAcentral lists this ribosomal RNA (460 nucleotides) under uncultured bacterium. Its description in RNAcentral is "partial 16S ribosomal RNA". It matches the Rfam family "Bacterial small subunit ribosomal RNA", at positions 338 to 795 of the family's 1533-position model. The record is from RNAcentral.